This 332-nucleotide unclassified non-coding RNA is filed under the name Hevea brasiliensis (rubber tree). Lineage: Eukaryota; Viridiplantae; Streptophyta; Magnoliopsida; Malpighiales; Euphorbiaceae. The record is from RNAcentral.
CUUGAGCUUACUGAGAAGGAGAUUGAACGAAUGGUGAUGGAAGCUUCUCGUGCAGAGUAUCUUGCCAAUGACAAGUUGAAGCUGCAGCUUGGUCACAAAGAAUCUUCUACUUCUGGUGCUGAACCAUCAUCUUCUGGAACUAGAUCAUCGGGCGGUGAAACGAAGGUGAGGGCACAGAGUUUGCAGGAUAAUGUUCUCAGCAGUAGUAUGCAGAUGGUUCUGUCGAUGGGAUUCAGCUAUCUGCAAGUGAUGGAGGCUUACAGCAUAUUCGGUGAUGAUGUGGAUUCAAUGGUUUGUUACCUCUUGGAAACUGGCAGUAGCAGGCGCAAAGG